RNAcentral lists this ribosomal RNA (482 nucleotides) under uncultured bacterium. RNAcentral's name for it is "partial 16S ribosomal RNA". It matches the Rfam family "Bacterial small subunit ribosomal RNA", at positions 30 to 507 of the family's 1533-position model. The record is from RNAcentral.
AUUGAACGCUGGCGGCAUGCUCUACACAUGCAAGUCGAACGGUAACAGGCCGCAAGGUGCUGACGAGUGGCGAACGGGUGAGUAAUGCAUCGGAACGUGCCCAGUCGUGGGGGAUAACUACUCGAAAGAGUAGCUAAUACCGCAUACGAUCUACGGAUGAAAGCGGGGGACCGUAAGGCCUCGCGCGAUUGGAGCGGCCGAUGUCAGAUUAGGUAGUUGGUGGGGUAAAGGCUCACCAAGCCAACGAUCUGUAGCUGGUCUGAGAGGACGACCAGCCACACUGGGACUGAGACACGGCCCAGACUCCUACGGGAGGCAGCAGUGGGGAAUUUUGGACGAUGGGCGCAAGCCUGAUCCAGCAAUGCCGCGUGCAGGAAGAAGGCCUUCGGGUUGUAAACUGCUUUUGUACGGAACGAAACGGCUCUGGUUAAUACCCGGGGCUAAUGACGGUACCGUAAGAAUAAGCACCGGCUAACUACGUG